GAUCCUGGCUCAGGAUGAACGCUGGCGGCGUGCUUAACACAUGCAAGUCGAACGAAGCACUUUAUUACGAUUUCUUCGGAAUGACGAUUUAGUGACUGAGUGGCGGACGGGUGAGUAACGCGUGGGUAACCUGCCUUAUACAGGGGGAUAACAGUUAGAAAUGACUGCUAAUACCGCAUAAGCGCACAGGAUUGCAUGAUCUGGUGUGAAAAACUCCGGUGGUAUAAGAUGGACCCGCGUCUGAUUAGCUGGUUGGUGAGGUAACGGCCCACCAAGGCGACGAUCAGUAGCCGACCUGAGAGGGUGACCGGCCACAUUGGGACUGAGACACGGCCCAAACUCCUACGGGAGGCAGCAGUGGGGAAUAUUGCACAAUGGGGGAAACCCUGAUGCAGCGACGCCGCGUGAGCGAAGAAGUAUUUCGGUAUGUAAAGCUCUAUCAGCAGGGAAGAAAAAAAUGACGGUACCUGACUAAGAAGCCCCGGCUAACUACGUG
RNAcentral lists this ribosomal RNA (496 nucleotides) under uncultured bacterium. Its description in RNAcentral is "bacterial SSU rRNA". It matches the Rfam family "Bacterial small subunit ribosomal RNA", at positions 15 to 507 of the family's 1533-position model. The record is from RNAcentral.